This 253-nucleotide ribosomal RNA is filed under the name uncultured bacterium. Its description in RNAcentral is "partial 16S ribosomal RNA". It matches the Rfam family "Bacterial small subunit ribosomal RNA", at positions 524 to 776 of the family's 1533-position model. The record is from RNAcentral.
UACGUAGGGGGCUAGCGUUGUCCGGAUUUAUUGGGCUUAAAGCGUGUGUAGGCGGCCAUGUAAGUCCGUUGUGAAAACUCGAGGCUUAACCUCGAGAUGUCAUCGGAAACCAUUUGGCUAGAGUCCGGAAGAGGAAAGUGGAAUUCCUGGUGUAGCGGUGAAAUGCGCAGAUAUCAGGAAGAACACCAAUGGCGAAAGCAGCUUUCUGGGACGGUACUGACGCUGAGACGCGAAAGCGUGGGGAGCAAACAGG